AAAUAUGUCUUACCAGAUGAGAAUUUACGGGGAAGGCUCACGUUAAGCUUUGAUGAAGCAUCAGCUGGAGUUGCCUGUAAUCUUGAUUCCCCCGGCUUUCACGUUCUAUGCAAAGCAACCGAAGAAGUUGUUGGACACGUGAAGCCUUACUCGAUCACCGGUACUUUGCCUCUAAUCCGAGACCUCAAGGAUGAAGGUUUCGAUGUGCAAACUUCAGGAUACGGUAUUACAAAACCCUCUUCA
This is a non-coding RNA of Camelina sativa (false flax), 243 nucleotides long. NCBI's taxonomy places the organism in Eukaryota, Viridiplantae, Streptophyta, Magnoliopsida, Brassicales, Brassicaceae. The record is from RefSeq and is a predicted model, not a curated record.